Molecule: long non-coding RNA, 320 nt
Organism: Lemur catta (Ring-tailed lemur)
Lineage: Eukaryota; Metazoa; Chordata; Mammalia; Primates; Lemuridae
Exons: 3
Source: RefSeq, a predicted model, not a curated record
GCACUGGAAGUUCCAUGUCCUGGGAGUCUCCUCAGUCCUAGGCAACAGGAAUGGCGGGUCACCCUGUCAGGAAGGACAUUGACCUCCUUGACACUCUUCUUCCAGGCAGCAUCUAUUGACUUGUGAAGGUGCCCCCAGGGCUGAGAACGUGCCCCCAGGGCUGAGAACGUCUGUCUGGUUCUUUGCUGCCUCCCAGGGCCCAGAACAUUCUGACACAGGUAAGGACCACGACACCAGAAGCUCAGGACAAUGAAGUGGCUCCCCUAAGUUCUCACAGCUGGCCAGGGGCGGAUAUGGGUUUCAGCCCAGGUCAGUUUGGC